UUACUAGAUGUAUUAUAUAUAUUCGGUCACGAAACGUAGUGAGUUAAAUAUAAUUAGUGAUAGCUAUUACUUGUUACGUAGUAUAGUAACAUGAUAGUUUUAUUUUGCAGUGAUAGGCCUGCCAAGCUACUUGAUAUCUUGUUGUGUAAGAAAUAUAUUUAGUAUUAAGACAUACUAUUAAAGUUAAGCUUUGUAGUUUAUAUAAAUGGUAAAAAUUACUUGAAGUUAUAGUUUAAUCAUUAAACUGCUAUUAAUUUAAACAUAAAUAAUGUGUAUUUAUAUUUACUAUUACACUAUACCAUUUUUACUUAUAGUAUAAAUAAUGUAAGUAUGAGUAAUAAAUUAAAUAUAACAAAGGAACUCGGCAAAGUGUUGCUCAACUGUUUACCAAAAACGUAACUAUAUGUAAUAAUAUAUAGCUUUUCUGCUCAAUGGUAAGCUAAAUAGCCGCAGUACUCUGACUGUGCAAAGGUAGCAUAAUCAAUUGGCUUUUAAUUAAAGUCUGGGAUGAAUGAAAGCAUGGGUAACGACUGUCUUACUGUUAUACUAUAUUGAAGUUAGUAGGUAAGUGAAAAUACUUACAAUCUAAAAUAGACGAGAAGACCCUAGAAACUUGUAUAAUUAUUUUGUUGGGGCGACAGAAUUACAAAAAACUAAUUUUAUCAUACAUGACGUUAACAGAUAGCUUAAGUUACUCUAGGGAUAACAGCAUAAUUUUUUAUAGUUUGUGACCUCGAUGUUGGACUAGGUAAAUAAUUUUUUAGAAGGAAAUUUAAAUGCUCUGUUCGAGCAAGGGAACCUACAUGAUCUGAGUU
RNAcentral lists this ribosomal RNA (815 nucleotides) under Otala lactea murcica. RNAcentral describes it as "partial large subunit ribosomal RNA". Lineage: Eukaryota; Metazoa; Mollusca; Gastropoda; Stylommatophora; Helicidae. The record is from RNAcentral.